Molecule: ribosomal RNA, 433 nt
Filed under: uncultured bacterium
Lineage: Bacteria
Description: partial 16S ribosomal RNA
Rfam family: Bacterial small subunit ribosomal RNA
Source: RNAcentral
AACGAACGCUGGCGGCAUGCCUAACACAUGCAAGUCGAACGAGACCUUCGGGUCUAGUGGCGCACGGGUGCGUAACGCGUGGGAACCUGCCCUUAGGUUCGGAAUAACUCCCCGAAAGGGGUGCUAAUACCGGAUAAUGUCUUCGGACCAAAGAUUUAUCGCCUUUGGAUGGGCCCGCGUUGGAUUAGCUAGUUGGUAGGGUAAAAGCCUACCAAGGCGACGAUCCAUAGCUGGUCUGAGAGGAUGAUCAGCCACACUGGGACUGAGACACGGCCCAGACUCCUACGGGAGGCAGCAGUGGGGACUAUUGGACAAUGGGCGAAAGCCUGAUCCAGCAAUGUCGCGUGAGUGAUGAAGGCCUUAGGGUUGUAAAGCUCUUUUACACGGGAUGAUAAUGACAGUACCGAGAGAAUAAGCUCCGGCUAACUCCGUG